CGGACGGGUGAGUAAUGUCUGGGAAACUGCCUGAUGGAGGGGGAUAACUACUGGAAACGGUAGCUAAUACCGCAUAACGUCGCAAGACCAAAGAGGGGGACCUUCGGGCCUCUUGCCAUCGGAUGUGCCCAGAUGGGAUUAGCUAGUAGGUGGGGUAACGGCUCACCUAGGCGACGAUCCCUAGCCGGUCUGAGAGGAUGACCAGCCACACUGGAACUGAGACACGGUCCAG
This 232-nucleotide ribosomal RNA is filed under the name uncultured bacterium. Its description in RNAcentral is "partial 16S ribosomal RNA". It matches the Rfam family "Bacterial small subunit ribosomal RNA", at positions 99 to 334 of the family's 1533-position model. The record is from RNAcentral.